This is a long non-coding RNA of Poecile atricapillus (Black-capped chickadee), 1545 nucleotides long. RefSeq lists it as uncharacterized. The record is from RefSeq and is a predicted model, not a curated record. Lineage: Eukaryota; Metazoa; Chordata; Aves; Passeriformes; Paridae. The transcript is spliced from 3 exons.
UGUUCUCAAAGUGAUGGUCGAGGAGCCACACAAAAUUUUCUAGGUCAGCCUUGGUAAUACACACAGUACUGGAGUGGGGUAUUCCCCCUCUGUUGAUGUGGGUGGGCUCAUCUGAGCUGCCAAGAUCUGAGCCAUGACGGCAUGCAGACACCUACUCUGCACUUCAGGUGAGCACCUCUGUUCAUGUCUUGUGAGCACAAGCACCACUACCAGCAUGUUAGUGGCUACUCUAAGUCAUAUGGAUUGCCAGUAACUUCUUGUUCUGCAACUUCCCAGACUACUCUUGCUGGUGAUACCUGCUGCACAGUCCCAGCCAGUGUCAGACUCUGCCUUUCCUCCCCAGAACUUGGAAGAAAACUGAAGAGAGAUCAGGGAAAGGACGUGGAGACUCAAACAUUCCCAAAUAAAAAGGUGUGUGGAAGAGAUAUCUUUGGUUUUCAGUACCAAAGUUUUGCUCCCGAGUUUGCUGUGGCCUGAAAUUUUGCAUCCUAUUAAAUGUAAUCCAGCAGGACUGCUGUAGCAGUCCUGUGCUGGUGGUGUCUGCUACUUUUGUACAGACUGCUUCCCCAGUUUAAAAGAAGCAAAUACAACCAAACCAAUGAAGAAUUCACCUCCAAAACUUGAUGCUUUGAACUCAGGACUCCGGCUCUGGGACACCCAGCAAAAGCCAAAGUAGUGAAUCCUCCUUUACCUCUACAGCCUCAAGCCAGUCGUUUUGGCUGGCUGUGUUGGAGGUGCUGAGACACUGAGAUGAUUCUGGAUGACAGCAGGGGGCUGGGACUGAGUGUUUUUCCUAAUGUUUGUUUGAGGAAUGGGGUUAAUUCUGGGCUGAAUUCUCACUUGGGACCGUGUGAGACUCCAUGUAAGUUGUUUAGGUUUGUUGUUUCUCCUGUAAACAACAAAACUGCAGGUGCUUCUUCAGGCAUUGUGAAGGAAAACACAUGGCAUAAAAGGGAAUUCUUACUGCAGGCAAGAUUAGCACCCUAAUGGUGGGUGAGGCUUCAUGCAAGUCAUGUCACAAAGGCAUCCUCUGUUCCCCAGGAGAUCAAUGAAUUAGGAGGCUGCCGGUACCCCUGGGCUUGGCGGGGGAUGCCUGACUGUGGGUGCACCAUAUGCGGAUGUAGCACUUCCUCUGGGGUGCUCUGCUCUGAAAUGAGUGGUUACAUAUAAAAAAUGGUUUUGAGGCCUGAACCAGUUGAAGUCAUUGGGAAAAACUCUGCAACUUCAAAGGGGUUUGGAUUAAAGCCAUAAGAAAAUUUCAGUUUGUUUUUUUUAAAUAAACACUCCCCAACUUGUAAUCAACAUUGUGCUCAAAGAAUGGUUUAAAAAAAUCCUGUUUUGCUUUUAAAGCUUAUAUAUCACUCAGAGAGUAUGAUUUUCUGAAUAAAUUUAAAAGUCUGUUUUUUAAUUUUUAUUUUUAUUUCUCAUAUGGCAGUGUGACAUUAUAAUGCCUUAAAUUGUUCUGUGCAUACCAAAAAGUACUCAUGGUACAUACUGUAAUUUCUUGUAAUCAUUUUGUUCACUAGCCUAUGCCCUUGGGAAAAA